Molecule: ribosomal RNA, 433 nt
Filed under: uncultured bacterium
Lineage: Bacteria
Description: partial 16S ribosomal RNA
Rfam family: Bacterial small subunit ribosomal RNA
Source: RNAcentral
AGCGAACGCUGGCGGCAGGCCUAACCCAUGCAAGUCGCACGGAUCUUUCGGGCUUCGUGGCGUACUGGUGAGUUACACCUCGCAACUUGCCCUUUGCUUUGGAACACCUCAGUGAAACUUGUGCUAAUACUGUCUGUUUCCUUCCGGCGAUAGAUUUAUCUCCCUUCCAUCACUUCGCGUCCGAUUCGCUAGUUGUUGAGGUAACUGCACAUCACAGCGACGAUCAUUAGCUGCUCUGAUAGGAUGAUCAGCCACACUAGGACUGAGACACGCCCCAGACUCCUACGGGAGGCAGCAGUGGGGAAUCUUGCGCAAUGGGAGAAAGCCGGACGCGGCCAUGCCGCGAGAAUGAUGAAGGUCUUAGGAGUUUAAAAUGCUUGCAGAGGGGACGAUAAUGGCGGUACCGACAGAAGAAGCUCCGGCUAACUUCGUG